This 489-nucleotide ribosomal RNA is filed under the name uncultured bacterium. RNAcentral's name for it is "partial 16S ribosomal RNA". It matches the Rfam family "Bacterial small subunit ribosomal RNA", at positions 30 to 507 of the family's 1533-position model. The record is from RNAcentral.
AUUGAACGCUGGCGGCAGGCCUAACACAUGCAAGUCGAACGGUAACAGGAAACAGCUUGCUGUUUCGCUGACGAGUGGCGGACGGGUGAGUAAUGUCUGGGAAACUGCCUGAUGGAGGGGGAUAACUACUGGAAACGGUAGCUAAUACCGCAUAACGUCGCAAGACCAAAGAGGGGGACCUUCGGGCCUCUUGCCAUCGGAUGUGCCCAGAUGGGAUUAGCUAGUAGGUGGGGUAACGGCUCACCUAGGCGACGAUCCCUAGCUGGUCUGAGAGGAGGACAGCCACAAUGGAAACGAGACAAGGUCCAGAACCCUAAGGGAGGCAGCAGUGGGGAAUAAUGCACAAUGGGCGCAAGCCUGAUGCAGCCAUGCCGCGUGUAUGAAGAAGGCCUUCGGGUUGUAAAGUACUUUCAGCGGGGAGGAAGGGAGUAAAGUUAAUACCUUUGCUCAUUGACGUUACCCGCAGAAGAAGCACCGGCUAACUCCGUG